Long non-coding RNA from Cloeon dipterum, 1956 nucleotides. RefSeq lists it as uncharacterized. Lineage: Eukaryota; Metazoa; Arthropoda; Insecta; Ephemeroptera; Baetidae. The record is from RefSeq and is a predicted model, not a curated record. The transcript is spliced from 3 exons.
GGUGCCAUUCUCCGUGGAUCCACCGGGGGAAUCCCGGGGGAUGCGUCCACCGUUUUAGAAGUUGAAUUUUCUAACGUAAAAGUCACGCGAAGUUAAUUAAUAUUGCUUAGAGCUAUUCUAUUUGUAACUUGGAUACCGAAAAUGACGAUAAAAGUGGGUAUAAAGAGCGAAAAUUGAAGAGAGAUCAUUCUAGGAGGAUCCACCUCGCGGUGGACCCAGCCACAACUUUCCACCACGAAAAAAUCCAGAUAUUUACAUUAAAUUUGCCUCCAGACAACUCUUCAUGUCAUGAUUAAUUGAUAAAAUUAACCCUCUCACUGCCGAAUGCGUUCGGCGGCCGAAUAAACUUCAUCAUUAUCAGCCGGCUAAACUUUCGCGCCAAGUUUCUGCCGGGCAUGCGUGGCAACACCGCUCAUCACCUGUUCGCGACGGAGCAUAACAAAUGGCGAGCUCGCCGGUCGGGUGUUUAUGUUUGUCGUGAAUUCUGUUGAUUUUCUGCUAAUUUAUCUUGGAAAAGCGUAUCGGCCUUCGUCCUUAAACCUUUAUUAGGUGCCAAAGUAUCGUUCGGACUACACGCAGCUGUUCAACAUCCACGCAAGAACAGCUGGGCAGCUUCAUUAGAACAUUAAAAGCGUACUGUUCACCCAAGAGCUUGAUGAUGGGAUAUGGGUUGGAGAGGAACAUAUGAAAUCGCUGCAGUUCUUUGGAUCACAGAGAGGUCUUUCGUGCAAGCGGAGGUACUUCAACCUGCGGGACUACUUCUACUGAAAGAUCUUCUCGACGCUCAACAUCGGGUUCAACCGCGUGAGCAAGAAAGACCCAGUGACCCAUGGCCUUGACAUCUCUGUGCACUGGCUGGGCCUGGAUGUGUGUCUUCUGGUCGCAGCCUUCGUACUGGUUGGAUGCAUUGUGGCCACCUUGAUCCUCGGGCUGCUGCUGACGCUGACCGUUCUUCUACGCCAUCUCGAGCAGCAAGGUGUUCUCGAUGGAUCUGCAGAGCCUGCCCGACCAGCUGUGUCAGGCCUUGAUCACCUACAUCCCAAACGGCGCCGAGAUCAUCGCCCUCGACGCGUUCGAUGCGCAGGCUGACGACCUGGUGGAUGGCAUCACGAGCGUCAAGCCAGCGUUGGCCGGCAAAGUUCCGCCUAGCCUAGCCUCUUUUCUGCUCCAAUUGGGCGUGGCGGGCGGAUCUCUGCUCAAAAGCGUUGCCCAGAACUGCUUCUCGCUCGAGCUGUUGUUCGCACCGUACCACCUGUUCCAAACACCGCUACCAGCCAGCUGCGAGAUUGUGUGGCUGCUGUGUGGUGGUGACGAGCAGAGGACAAGCUCUACCUCUGCUAUCAGGAGGAAACGCUGCAGCCGCUAUUUCCAGAGCUGCACGAGCUUUCUUGCGGUGACAUCCUCUGGAUUGACGUCGUCUACUCGCUUGAGCGGCACAGACUCAUCACUGAGCUCCUCGCCCUCUCCCUUGAAGUGGUCCACAUCAUGCAGCAUAGUGUGGACCAAACUGUGCAGUUACUUUAGCAAUAGUUUGACUGAAUAUUGAUAAAAUAAAAUAAAAAUUUGAAAAUAGUGUUUAUAUUUCUUUUCAUGCACGAAAUAAAUUAUUUCGCAAAUAUAUAGCAAUUUUCUAAAAAUUAAUAUGGCUGCUCCUUUUUUAACCAUAUGAUCCUCUGCAUGUUCCUCUGUUGACCGGAUUCAAAGAAUACAAGAAAUUGAAACAGGAAUUCCUGCUUUUCCCUGGCAUUCCGGCAGGACAAGAAAUUAUUUUCAGGAACAGGACAUAACGGGAAUUUUGUUUCAGAACAAUUUCAAUCUUGGUCUAUAUAAAUCACGUUUAUAUCAAAAAAUAAAUUUGAAGAUAUGAUAAUAUAGACUUAAAAUACUGUUUUACGAUGUCCAAAAACAUUUCACAAAAAUCAUAAUUAUAAAUAUAUAAUCUGAUAUCCCUGUGAU